This is a small nucleolar RNA of Cajanus cajan (pigeon pea), 74 nucleotides long. It matches the Rfam family "Small nucleolar RNA R21". Rfam says of the family: snoR21 is a member of the C/D class of snoRNA which contain the C (UGAUGA) and D (CUGA) box motifs. NCBI's taxonomy places the organism in Eukaryota, Viridiplantae, Streptophyta, Magnoliopsida, Fabales, Fabaceae. The record is from Rfam.
UUUCCCUAUGAUGAUAUGUAAUCUUUAAAGUAGUGGACCGAAUUCCCUUGAUGAGAAACGAAAUCUGAGGGAUG